UUCAUAGUCCAGUAUGCUGAGUUACUGACAGCAACGGUCCUGUUAACUAAGGCAUGCUCAUAUCCUUUUAGGUCCGGUCUUUGAUACCAUUGUAUUAUACCGGUAACUACUCUGUAGAAUGCACAAGGGCAAGCUGAACGAAGUCCUAGUGAUGGAUGAAUAUUCUGUGAUUGGCUGGCAUUAUACUUGCCGAUAGUGGGAACGGAAAGGUGGAAAAAUGUCUGAAUAGUGUAAGAAAGGUCACACAAUCAAAUGGUAUGGUAGUGGAUCCCUGAAUCAGCUUGUGCUGGAUUGCUUCUUUUACUUUCUCCCUGGUUUCCAAAAUUUAAAUUGAUCUGACUGUGAUCAUAAUGAUAUUUUCAAGAAAAGAAACUUUUGAUCAUAAUUCAACCAGCUGGUUAUCUUGCCAGAGAACAUGCCACAGUGAUUUCUGAAAUUCAGAGUUCAUGAAGCUCAUUCGGGAGGAACAUUAUUACUAAAAGUUCACUUUCAAAUCUUCUAGAGCCAAGCAGCCAGAAUCCCCUAGGUGGAGGCAUUAUUGAAGAUUUUGCUGGCACUGCAUCUCCUGCAGCCGUCUGUUCGAACCACCACAAUACAUUGCAUAGUAUUCAUUCAGAGGAUAAGCCGCAAUGCACUGCAUAGUAUUCAUUCAGAGGAUGAGCCAGCCAUUCUCCAUUCUCCAGAUCUGUGCGACAGUACUUUUUUCCCCCUUCCAAUCAAAGCCUGACAAACCUGAAGGAUCCGGGGCAUGAUUUCUCCGGUGGUGGCCAUGGCAACAACUUUGCCGCUCGGUUGCAGCACGAGGCAGGCACUAUCUCCUCUGCUUCAUACCAAACCUACUUUCAUCCUCGUGUAAGACAGCAAGACUGGCUGGCAAUAUAGGGCUGGUUCCUUCACUGACCAAACCACCUUGUUCAUCGAGAACAUGAAGUGAUCGCCUGCGUUACUGCAAACGGCCUGGAGUCCUGGACCCAUAUACAAUUAUAUUCUAGAUAGCUAGCUUGUGGCUGUGCUUUGGUCGGCCGCUGGUGGUGGCGUCUUCCCUUUCCGGGCAAGAGGGAAAACAAAAGAGCGGCAAGACGGCCGGGGUCGGUGACGGAUUGACGGCUCAAGGCGACGCGACGGCGACGGCGACGUAGGAAAAGUUUCUCCAUGAUCCUGUCAAGAAAAGGAGGAAAGUUUCUUGAUGUUGCCUGCUUGGCUGCUCGUCCUCCUCUCCCUUUUUAACCGUGUGGCUGAAUCCUUUUUUUUCUUUCCUGACGCGAAAUCACCGUUAGCGAUCGAUCGCUGGCUACACGGUUGCUAGCUGAAUGCUAUGAAGGGCGACGGCUCAAUCUAGCAAUAUAUUUUCUUUCAGUUAAUCUCGUCGUGAUCUGAUACUGAUGCUUUCCAAUUAAGACGUUAAGCCUACUCUAAUCGGCAGCAGAGAGGACUUGGACAUGUCCUUAAAAAUAAAUGAGUUACUCCAUAUGUACACAUCGUUCUGUAAACUCAAGGCACGCAUGGUCAAUAGACCUUAACCUGGUUAACCGAAGAUUCUAAAAUAUAAGUAUGUUUAGGU
Molecule: long non-coding RNA, 1561 nt
Organism: Oryza brachyantha (malo sina)
Lineage: Eukaryota; Viridiplantae; Streptophyta; Magnoliopsida; Poales; Poaceae
Exons: 5
Source: RefSeq, a predicted model, not a curated record